ACAGGUCAGUUUGUCCAUUGUAACUUGAGUGAUUAGUGAGCUUGAGUUUAUGAGGUGCGAGCUGGAAUUAUAAUGCAUUGUGAUACUUCAAAUGAAAAGUCAGAAACUCCCGAACUCUGUCUUAAUUUUCUCUCUGGAUUCUUCUUCUUCUUCUCUUUCUUUUCCAACUGCUCAUUUUCUUUUCACUUUUUCCCCUCACUCUCUAUUCCAUUCUCUCCAAAGGUUUUUCUCUGAUCUGAGCUUUACUCCAACCUAAAUGAGUGGAGUUCCUUUACAGGAUAUCCCUAGAUGUUAUUCCUAUCACAAAGUCGUACUUGUCAUAACACUAUGAGCAAAUGGUGCGGAUCAUCCUAUUUCUUAUAAUUGUCAUGCUUUUCCCCCAGUUAUGCAUACACUGGAGUGAACAUGUCAUCCAAGCAAAAUGAUGUCGAAUGCUUUUCAGAUUGUUAUGUUCUGUGUGAUGUUGAAUGCUAUUGCAACCUUUCAGAUUGUUAUGUUCUUUGUCUUAGUGUUUCGUUUCCUUGCUUAUGUUUUCAAGACUGAUGAGUUCCUUUUUGCAUGAUCUGUUGGUCUGUGCCAUCCUUGCAACAGAUAUUGUGAUCAUGCCAGUCUAACUGCCUUCAUGUUUCUUGGAUGUAUAAGUUAUUCAGAAACUAAACUUCAAUUCUAUCUGCAUUUUUGGUUUUUGACAACUUGAUAAUGACACAUUCUAAUAUCUUAUUUUUCUGCUCAAAUUUUGAAUGGCUUCCAACUGAAAUAUUGCAGAAAUUGUGGCUUGCUGGAUUUUCAAGGGGCAUCCAGGAGAUGCAC
Molecule: unclassified non-coding RNA, 810 nt
Filed under: Hevea brasiliensis (rubber tree)
Lineage: Eukaryota; Viridiplantae; Streptophyta; Magnoliopsida; Malpighiales; Euphorbiaceae
Source: RNAcentral